This is a non-coding RNA of Exidia glandulosa HHB12029, 104 nucleotides long. NCBI's taxonomy places the organism in Eukaryota, Fungi, Basidiomycota, Agaricomycetes, Auriculariales, Exidiaceae. The record is from the annotation of a GenBank genome assembly.
GCUCUGUUGGUCUAGUGGUUAUGAUUGACGCUUCCCAAAUGAAUCGUCGGUAAUUCCCGGUCAUUAGACAGCGUUAGAGGCGAGUUCGAUUCUCGCACAGAGCA